UAUUUAUAGAAAAUGGGAACUAUUCGAUUUGCACUAAGUGGCAAAUUAUGGUAGGAGAGAAAAAGUUGAGCGAAAAAGAGUGAUGUGAUGUAACGUGAUGACAGUACAAAAAAUGAAGGAAGAACCUCCUAAUUGGUGUUGGCUCAUCGCCCAAGGCGGUAGUGGCACACUGCCCAAGGCAGCGCAUAGCGCCCAAGGGGUAGCGGCACACUACCCGAGGCAGCAACGCGCCUCCCCAUGUCAGCCGCGCGCUGUAAGCACGCUGACCUAUCCUACUGCUU
Molecule: long non-coding RNA, 281 nt
Filed under: Carica papaya (papaya)
Lineage: Eukaryota; Viridiplantae; Streptophyta; Magnoliopsida; Brassicales; Caricaceae
Description: long non-coding RNA (CPAP_LNC006830)
Source: RNAcentral